AUGGGGCGGCAUGUGUCCUCGGCUUCCCUUGGUGACAAGGAUGUUGACAAUGAGGAAGAGGAGGAGUUGGCCCCAUUGACGCCACCGGCUGCCAAAAGCUAUGUCCCGGCAGCUCAGCGUACUGAUCAGUGUGUGAUGCACGAGAGAGAGGCGAGUGGAGGAUGGCAAGAUGUGCUGCCUCGGCGUGGUCGGCGCUGUCUGGAGUCGCCAGCUCCGGCAUUGCCCCCUCGUCCCAUUCUGGCUUGGCUCUUUGGUAGGUGUUGCAGAUGUCUUUCUCCUGGUCAUCGAGUGGCUGAUUUCAGAGAUCCCUUGAGGUGCUCCCGCUGCUUUGGAGAACGGCCACUGGCGCGUGGGUGUCGCCAUGCUUGGCGUCCAUUCAGCUCACUUGCAUGCCUUGCCAUGCCGCCACGGUCUCGCCUCGACACCGAGCAUUACCGAGCUCCAACUCCUUGUGAUGGUCCGAUGGUAUCCCAGCUCCCCUCCAAGGUGCUUCACCGAAGGUCCUGGGCAUCGGUCGUUUCCGCUCACGCUGAGUCGGCAACCCAAUCUGAAGUACUUCUCCAGUCCACUCUAGCAGCCCAGGCUAAGCUCCUGGUGCGCGUUGGGAGCUUUCUGGAGCGAGCAGAGGCUGCUCUGGGAAAGCUCUCUCUUGUGCCGGCUGUGUUGCAAUCCGCUCCUACGUCACAUCCUUGUAGUGAGGUUGAUGUUGGCGGCUCAAUGGAGAACAGGGUUGAGGAGCUCUAUGGUUGUUUCUCCCCUAGAGCUAUGGACAACUCAUCAUCGCCGUCUGCCUUGCCCAUUGUGAUGUCUACCGCUGAGGGCGGGACCAUUCCCGUGGUUGUGCCUCCGGUGUUGCAGGUGAUGCCCGAGCUUCAAGUGUUAUGUGCGAGCUCUGAUUCACCUCUAUCAAUGGAGCAUAUGAUGGUGGACACGCAGGCAACCACGUGUGAGGGACAUGAUUCAACCUUGACAUGUGAGUCGAGUGAGGUGAACUCGCCUGCGCGCUCACAUGUGGCUUCUGCACCCAUUCCACCCCCACCGACGGAUAAUUCCAAUGCUCUCUUUGCAAAAGAGCUUUGUGACUUGCUCGCUAGCGUGGAGGCUAUUAGCCCUGGAACUGGAAGGGCGAUUGCUUGCCUCCUGACGGGAACGACAUUCAAGGGCAAAUACAAGGUGAGUGAUUGCCCUCGGACUGGUAUAGUGAAGGAGAAGUCACUAAGGUGCAAAGGCAAAAAGAGUGGCGCCAUAGGUAAGAUGCCCGCAACUGCUUAA
RNAcentral lists this ribosomal RNA (1272 nucleotides) under Triticum aestivum (bread wheat). Its description in RNAcentral is "partial small subunit ribosomal RNA". Lineage: Eukaryota; Viridiplantae; Streptophyta; Magnoliopsida; Poales; Poaceae. The record is from RNAcentral.